Molecule: ribosomal RNA, 460 nt
Filed under: uncultured bacterium
Lineage: Bacteria
Description: partial 16S ribosomal RNA
Rfam family: Bacterial small subunit ribosomal RNA
Source: RNAcentral
CCUACGGGUGGCAGCAGUGAGGAAUAUUGGUCAAUGGACGAGAGUCUGAACCAGCCAAGUAGCGUGAAGGAUGACUGCCCUAUGGGUUGUAAACUUCUUUUAUAUGGGAAUAAAAUGUUCCACGUGUGGGAUUUUGUAUGUACCAUAUGAAUAAGGAUCGGCUAACUCCGUGCCAGCAGCCGCGGUAAUACGGAGGAUCCGAGCGUUAUCCGGAUUUAUUGGGUUUACAGGGAGCGUAGGUGGAUUGUUAAGUCAGUUGUGAAAGUUUGCGGCUCAACCGUAAAAUUGCAGUUGAAACUGGCAGUCUUGAGUACAGUAGAGGUGGGCGGAAUUCGUGGUGUAGCGGUGAAAUGCUUAGAUAUCACGAAGAACUCCGAUUGCGAAGGCAGUUCACUGGACUGCAACUGACACUGAGGCUCGAAAGUGUGGGUAUCAAACAGGAUUAGAUACCCUUGUAGUC